UUAUAACUAAACAAUUAGGGUUUAGGGGUAGGGUGGCUAAAUCUUGACCAUCCAUGUGCCUUGUGUGUUGGGAAGAUUGUGGCCCUCCAUGUGUCCCUUAGUUGCCAACUCUUUUUUUUCUUCUUUUCUUUUCAUUUUCUUCUUUUUCUUGCAUUUUCUCUUCUUUCUUUAUUUAUCUACAAUUUCCUGAAAUAAAAUAAAUAAGCGAUUAAUACUACGAAAAUAAACAAAAAAUAGGCACUUAAAUAUGCAAAAAUAUGGACUAAUCAAACUUCCCCAUACCUAUCUUUUGCUCGUCCUCGAGUAAAAAUCAAAAGAAAAG
Molecule: long non-coding RNA, 322 nt
Filed under: Daucus carota (carrot)
Lineage: Eukaryota; Viridiplantae; Streptophyta; Magnoliopsida; Apiales; Apiaceae
Description: long non-coding RNA (DCAR_LNC006838)
Source: RNAcentral